UGGUACAUGACCCAUUCCUUCAAGAAUCUAGCUCCGUUUCGUAGCAUUGUGCAGACGCAGAUCUCGUGCUCUUUUCGGGCCGAAUCCGGAUGCGGACACGCCCGACCGAUCAUCCUCGGGCGGGCUAUGGAGGGUAAUGUUCCACUAUCUCCGUUCCCUUUCACUCUUACGGAGACUUUGAUCGAAUUGUUGUUGACUCUUUGUUGACCGUUCAACAGGCUCAUGGGAGUUUUGCACCGUACAAUCUCCUGUGCAACGGAGACACCCUCUGAUCUUAGCAGCAACUUGGGCUUAGUGAAGUCCCAGCCGUACACGCACUCAUAUCUCGAAGCAUUGGAGAGUUUCUCUGGC
RNAcentral lists this long non-coding RNA (351 nucleotides) under Carica papaya (papaya). RNAcentral's name for it is "long non-coding RNA (CPAP_LNC002049)". The record is from RNAcentral. Lineage: Eukaryota; Viridiplantae; Streptophyta; Magnoliopsida; Brassicales; Caricaceae.